This 437-nucleotide ribosomal RNA is filed under the name uncultured bacterium. RNAcentral's name for it is "partial 16S ribosomal RNA". It matches the Rfam family "Bacterial small subunit ribosomal RNA", at positions 29 to 507 of the family's 1533-position model. The record is from RNAcentral.
AGCGAACGCUGGCGGCAGGCUUAACACAUGCAAGUCGAGCGGGCAUCCUUGUGGUGUCAGCGGCAGACGGGUGAGUAACGCGUGGGAACGUGCCCUUCGGUUCGGAAUAACUCAGGGAAACUUGAGCUAAUACCGGAUACGUGCGAGAGCAGAAAGGUUUAUCUGCCGAAGGAUCGGCCCGCGUCUGAUUAGCUAGUUGGUGAGGUUACGGCUCACCAAGGCGACGAUCAGUAGCUGGUCUGAGAGGAUGAUCAGCCACACUGGGACUGAGACACGGCCCAGACUCCUACGGGAGGCAGCAGUGGGGAAUAUUGGACAAUGGGGGCAACCCUGAUCCAGCCAUGCCGCGUGAGUGAUGACGGCCUUAGGGUUGUAAAGCUCUUUUCUCCGGGACGAUAAUGACGGUACCGGAGGAAUAAGCCCCGGCUAACUUCGUA